AAUGAUGAGCCUGAUUAAAGGACUAUCGUGAUAGGAUAAAACAUGUAGUAAACCCUACCUUCAUUA
Molecule: transfer RNA, 66 nt
Filed under: Basidentitermes aurivillii
Lineage: Eukaryota; Metazoa; Arthropoda; Insecta; Blattodea; Termitidae
Description: tRNA-Ile
Source: RNAcentral